AGGGGAUUGAUGAUAAGGUUAUAGUUGUAAUUUUUCUUGGAGGAGGAAAAGAGUUUACAUCAGUUGUUCUUGAUGGUGGUUCUAAUUCUGAUCAGCAACCAGUCGUGUUUUUCUGCCAACUGAGGUGGAACUUCAAACUAGCAACAGUGGUGACAUAAGUGAGAAUGAUGCAAUAUUUAAUUACAGGAGGAAGUAUCUUCCCACUCAGCAGGAGAGUUAUCUAGCAGGGAUGAGAAGAUAAAUAAAGCACUAAAACAGGCUACAGAAAAGGAGAUAUCUCAGAGUGCUGAUGUCAUCUGUUGCACAUGUGUUGGUUCAGGGGACCCACAGUUGGCAAAUUUUAGAUUCCGCCAGGUGCUUAUUGAUGAAUCUACUCAAUCCACAGAUUCCGAGUGUCUUAUACCUCCUGUUCUUGGGGCAAAACAGGUAUAUUAUAUAUAGCUACAAAAUUUAUAUAACUUCUACAAUGAAGCUCUUUAACAAAUAUAUCAUGUUUAGACCUAAGUCAAUUUGUUUCACUUAAAACAUUCUCAAUUUUAUGAUAUCUCAUGUUUAAUUUUUAUUUUUUUUUUAUAUAUCUGAGGUUUGAUUUUUGGUGAUAGUGAAAAUAAAAUCCAAAAUCUAUAAUCGGCUGCAAAAUAAAUCCAGUAAAAAAGGUAACAUAGAUGCAUAAAUUUGAGGUUUCAAACUAUGGGUGCCUAAGAUCUGGUUUUGUGUUUAUAAUAUAUAUGAUGCUUUUAUCUGUUUUGGCUCUGACUUCUCCUGUAUUUCAACUGAUUUUAUAGCAAAAGGUCUUUUAGAGGUUCAUACAGAGGAUAGGGAAAGAGGUUUUGCUCUGAUUUGGUAUAUCAUUUGGUUAUCUUCAGUUUACAAAUAAGUUAUAUCUUUAGAU
Lactuca sativa (garden lettuce) is the source of this 892-nucleotide long non-coding RNA. RefSeq lists it as uncharacterized. Lineage: Eukaryota; Viridiplantae; Streptophyta; Magnoliopsida; Asterales; Asteraceae. The record is from RefSeq and is a predicted model, not a curated record.